GGAUGAGAAGCUUCGACUAAGGUUCGAUUCGAGCGCAGCGAGAAAGCGUUGCCGCAGGCAACGACCCGAAGGGCGAAGCGCGCAGCGCUGAGUAAUCCUUCCCCCACCACCA
Molecule: small RNA, 112 nt
Filed under: Salmonella enterica
Lineage: Bacteria; Pseudomonadati; Pseudomonadota; Gammaproteobacteria; Enterobacterales; Enterobacteriaceae
Also listed under: 1 other name
Description: partial RtT sRNA
Rfam family: RtT RNA
About the family: This family represents a bacterial cis-regulatory element known as RtT RNA. The exact function of RtT is unknown although it is thought that it may be involved in changing the cellular response in relation to amino acid starvation.
Source: RNAcentral